GGUUAUUUAGUUUAAUGAAAAUAUAGGUUUUGUAAAUCUAAGAUAAUGUUUAUUAUUAACCU
RNAcentral lists this transfer RNA (62 nucleotides) under Paruterina candelabraria. RNAcentral's name for it is "tRNA-Thr". It matches the Rfam family "tRNA". Rfam says of the family: Transfer RNA (tRNA) molecules are approximately 80 nucleotides in length. Lineage: Eukaryota; Metazoa; Platyhelminthes; Cestoda; Cyclophyllidea; Paruterinidae. The record is from RNAcentral.